This 373-nucleotide ribosomal RNA is filed under the name uncultured bacterium. RNAcentral describes it as "bacterial SSU rRNA". It matches the Rfam family "Bacterial small subunit ribosomal RNA", at positions 29 to 430 of the family's 1533-position model. The record is from RNAcentral.
AACGAACGCUGGCGGCAGGCUUAACACAUGCAAGUCGAACGAAGUCUUCGGACUUAGUGGCGCACGGGUGAGUAACACGUGGGAAUAUACCUCUUGGUGGGGAAUAACAUCGGGAAACUGAUGCUAAUACCGCAUACGCCCUUCGGGGAAAGAUUUAUCGCCGAGAGAUUAGCCCGCGUCCGAUUAGCUAGUUGGUGAGGUAAUGGCUCACCAAGGCGACGAUCGGUAGCUGGUCUGAGAGGAUGAUCAGCCACACUGGGACUGAGACACGGCCCAGACUCCUACGGGAGGCAGCAGUGGGGAAUAUUGGACAAUGGGCGAAAGCCUGAUCCAGCCAUGCCGCGUGAGUGAAGAAGGCCUUCGGGUUGUAAAG